Molecule: long non-coding RNA, 351 nt
Filed under: Vitis vinifera (wine grape)
Lineage: Eukaryota; Viridiplantae; Streptophyta; Magnoliopsida; Vitales; Vitaceae
Description: long non-coding RNA (VVIN_LNC000671)
Source: RNAcentral
GGGAGCUAGGGUAGUUAUUGACGGCAAGCUGAUUACAAGCAGGGGGCUUGCAACUGCAAUAGAAUUUGCAUUGGCAAUUGUUAGCAAGCUUUUUAGUCAUGCAAGAGCAAGGAGUGUAGCUGAAGGUCUUGUUUUUGAGUACCCUAAGAGCUAGAGAGACAGUGUCUGGCACUUAUGGUUGGAGUUACCCUGCACCAAUUCAAGUCAGUGGUUGAAAUGAGUCAAUUUCUUGCCAGCUGCUUGGGCUUGAAAUGAGAAUUGGGUUUUUGUAAUCAACAUCUCAGGAUUGUAUUUUGUGCUAGUACUGAUUUCUGUAAAGGUCUCAAGUAUCACAAGCUCCAUAACUGACUC